CGCCCCUGCCGGCUAGGUGAAGGUGAGAGUCUCCUCCAGUCGCCGCGGUUGGACCGGACCGAGCGGCUUCAAGCGCAGAGUGGAAGCUUUCGGCCGACUCCAGCUUUCUAGCUAUGGCGCCUCCAUCAAUCUUUGCCGAGGUUCCUCAGGCCCAGCCGGUCCUUGUCUUUAAGCUCACUGCUGACUUCCGGGAGGAUCCGGACCCUCGCAAGGUCAACCUGGGAGUGGGAGCUUAUCGCACGGAUGAUAGCCAGCCCUGGGUUUUGCCAGUCGUGAGGAAGGUGGAGCAGAGGAUUGCUAAUGACAGCAGUGUGAACCACGAGUACCUGCCCAUCCUGGGCCUGGCAGAGUUCCGGACCCGUGCUUCCCGCCUGGCCCUUGGGGAUGACAGCCCAGCUCUGCAGGAGAAGCGGGUAGGAGGUGUGCAGUGUUUGGGGGGAACAGGUGCACUUCGAAUUGGAGCUGAGUUCUUAGCGCGAUGGUACAAUGGAACAAACAACAAGGACACGCCCGUCUAUGUAUCCUCACCAACCUGGGAGAAUCAUAAUGGUGUCUUUAUUGCCGCUGGAUUUAAAGAAAUUCGGUCUUAUCACUAUUGGGAUGCAGCGAAGAGAGGACUAGACCUCCAGGGUUUUCUGAAUGAUCUGGAGAAAGCUCCCGAGUUCUCCAUCUUUGUCCUCCACGCCUGUGCACACAACCCGACUGGGACUGACCCAACUCCGGAGCAGUGGAAGCAGAUUGCCUCUGUCAUGAAGCGCCGGUUUCUGUUCCCCUUCUUUGACUCAGCCUAUCAGGGCUUCGCAUCUGGCAACCUGGAAAAAGACGCCUGGGCCAUUCGCUAUUUUGUGUCUGAAGGGUUCGAGCUCUUCUGUGCCCAGUCCUUCUCCAAGAACUUCGGGCUCUACAAUGAGCGAGUGGGGAAUCUGACCGUGGUUGCGAAAGAACCUGAUAGCAUCCUCCGGGUCCUUUCCCAGAUGGAGAAGAUAGUGCGAAUUACGUGGUCCAAUCCCCCUGCUCAGGGAGCACGAAUCGUGGCCCAUACCCUCUCUGACCCUGAGCUUUUUAAUGAAUGGACAGGUAAUGUGAAGACAAUGGCUGACCGCAUUCUGACCAUGAGAUCUGAGCUCAGGGCACGAUUAGAAGCCCUCAAGACCCCUGGAACCUGGAACCAUAUCACGGAGCAGAUUGGAAUGUUCAGUUUCACCGGGUUGAACUCUGGCGGGCCGUUUUCAUCUGGGUGAAGAGCUACUCACUCAAGGUUCUCAGCAACUUCUGGCCCAUGGUUUCCUCAAAGCCGCUGCUGCAGCGGCUGGUCUCUGUGUCCAGGUUGAUAUGACAACAUUCACUAUCUGAUGCUGAGAGAAAGGGAAGAAGGAAGAACACAAGCCUUUCCCACCUACACACCCAGGGACCCAGGGCCCAGUUUCCCUCCCUGACCUGCUCUCAUGGGAACAGCUGCAGGAGACAGUGAGAGUUGCUGCGUGCUCUGCCCCUCGAAGUCUGUCAUCUCCUCCUGGGUGAAGGCCAUCUCCUCCAUCCUCAGGUAGAAAAACGGACCAUGUGCUAUGAUGCUCAGCUGCCCUAGUCACAGCAAGGUCCUCUGGCCUGAGAAAAAGGAUGACACCUGCACCUGAGAAUUGACCUCAGAUUUGGAGUUCUCAACACCUCACUGGCUCAUGUCAGGAAAGAGACUUCCCUUUUAUGCUCCUUGUUAUUUAUAGAAUGUUCCCUUUCCUUAUGUUUUAGGGGUGGAUAUAUGAGAUCAACUGUAAGUUUUAGGAAAAUCCUUACAGUCUUAGUGUCAGGUAUUCAUCCUAACACAUUCCUCUUGGAGGAGUUGCCAGAUCCAUCUCCUGAAAGCGCUCCCCAAUCGAUGCCCAGAGGUGUUUCAAAAAACUCUGGGCUCAUCACAGUUGCUCAUUAAACACCACUCCUCAAAAUCUCAUUCACUUUUCUCCCCAAAGCCUCAUAUGGAUUUUCUCAACUUAAGAUAUAAAUGGUGUUAUGGACUGAAUGUUUGUGUCCCCUCCAAAAUUCAUAUGCUGAAACCCUAACCCCCAAGGUGAUGGCAUUAGGAGGUGG
RNA transcript from Delphinapterus leucas (beluga whale), 2082 nucleotides. It is a transcript of the gene named glutamic-oxaloacetic transaminase 1, with no coding region annotated. Lineage: Eukaryota; Metazoa; Chordata; Mammalia; Artiodactyla; Monodontidae. The record is from RefSeq and is a predicted model, not a curated record.